RNAcentral lists this ribosomal RNA (2917 nucleotides) under Pseudomonas amygdali pv. lachrymans. RNAcentral describes it as "bacterial LSU rRNA". It matches the Rfam family "Bacterial large subunit ribosomal RNA". The record is from RNAcentral. Lineage: Bacteria; Pseudomonadati; Pseudomonadota; Gammaproteobacteria; Pseudomonadales; Pseudomonadaceae.
GUUAUAUGGUCAAGUGAAGAAGCGCAUACGGUGGAUGCCUUGGCAGUCAGAGGCGAUGAAAGACGUGGUAGCCUGCGAAAAGCUUCGGRGAGUCGGCAAACAGACUGUGAUCCGGAGAUGUCUGAAUGGGGGAACCCAGCCAUCAUAAGAUGGUUAUCUUGUACUGAAUACAUAGGUGCAAGARGCGAACCAGGGGAACUGAAACAUCUAAGUACCCUGAGGAAAAGAAAUCAACCGAGAUUCCCUUAGUAGUGGCGAGCGAACGGGGACCAGCCCUUAAGUUGUAUUGAGAUUAGCGGAACGUUCUGGAAAGGACGGCCAUAGUGGGUGAUAGCCCUGUACGCGAAAAUCCCUUUGYAAUGAAAUCGAGUAGGACGGGGCACGAGAAACCUUGUCUGAAUAUGGGGGGACCAUCCUCCAAGGCUAAAUACUACUGACUGACCGAUAGUGAACCAGUACCGUGAGGGAAAGGCGAAAAGAACCGCGGAGAGCGGAGUGAAAUAGAUCCUGAAACCGUAUGCGUACAAGCAGUGGGAGCCCACUUUGUUGGGUGACUGCGUACCUUUUGUAUAAUGGGUCAGCGACUUAUUUUCAGUGGCGAGCUUAACCGAAUAGGGGAGGCGUAGCGAAAGCGAGUCUUAAUAGGGCGUCUAGUCGCUGGGAAUAGACCCGAAACCGGGCGAUCUAUCMAUGGGCAGGUUGAAGGUUGGGUAACACUAACUGGAGGACCGAACCGACUACCGUUGAAAAGUUAGCGGAUGACCUGUGGAUCGGAGUGAAAGGCUAAUCAAGCUCGGAGAUAGCUGGUUCUCCUCGAAAGCUAUUUAGGUAGCGCCUCAUGUAUCACUGUAGGGGGUAGAGCACUGUUUCGGCUAGGGGGUCAUCCCGACUUACCAAACCGAUGCAAACUCCGAAUACCUACAAGUGCCGAGCAUGGGAGACACACGGCGGGUGCUAACGUCCGUCGUGAAAAGGGAAACAACCCAGACCGUCAGCUAAGGUCCCAAAGUCAUGGUUAAGUGGGAAACGAUGUGGGAAGGCUUAGACAGCUAGGAGGUUGGCUUAGAAGCAGCCACCCUUUAAAGAAAGCGUAAUAGCUCACUAGUCGAGUCGGCCUGCGCGGAAGAUGUAACGGGGCUCAAACCAUGCACCGAAGCUACGGGUAUCAUCUUAUGAUGAUGCGGUAGAGGAGCGUUCUGUAAGCCUGUGAAGGUGAGUUGAGAAGCUUGCUGGAGGUAUCAGAAGUGCGAAUGCUGACAUGAGUAACGACAAUGGGUGUGAAAAACACCCACGCCGAAAGACCAAGGUUUCCUGCGCAACGUUAAUCGACGCAGGGUUAGUCGGUCCCUAAGGCGAGGCUGAAAAGCGUAGUCGAUGGAAAACAGGUUAAUAUUCCUGUACUUCUGGUUAUUGCGAUGGAGGGACGGAGAAGGCUAGGCCAGCCUGGCGUUGGUUGUCCAGGUUUAAGGUGGUAGGCUGAGAUCUUAGGUAAAUCCGGGAUCUCAAGGCCGAGAGCUGAUGACGAGUGUUCUUUAGAACACGAAGUGGUUGAUGCCAUGCUUCCAAGAAAAGCUUCUAAGCUUCAGGUAACCAGGAACCGUACCCCAAACCGACACAGGUGGUUGGGUAGAGAAUACCAAGGCGCUUGAGAGAACUCGGGUGAAGGAACUAGGCAAAAUGGCACCGUAACUUCGGGAGAAGGUGCGCCGGUGAGGGUGAAGCAUUUACUGCGUAAGCCCACGCCGGUCGAAGAUACCAGGCCGCUGCGACUGUUUAUUAAAAACACAGCACUCUGCAAACACGAAAGUGGACGUAUAGGGUGUGACGCCUGCCCGGUGCCGGAAGGUUAAUUGAUGGGGUUAGCGCAAGCGAAGCUCUUGAUCGAAGCCCCGGUAAACGGCGGCCGUAACUAUAACGGUCCUAAGGUAGCGAAAUUCCUUGUCGGGUAAGUUCCGACCUGCACGAAUGGCGUAACGAUGGCGGCGCUGUCUCCACCCGAGACUCAGUGAAAUUGAAAUCGCUGUGAAGAUGCAGUGUAUCCGCGGCUAGACGGAAAGACCCCGUGAACCUUUACUAUAGCUUUGCACUGGACUUUGAAUUUGCUUGUGUAGGAUAGGUGGGAGGCUUUGAAGCGUGGACGCCAGUCUGCGUGGAGCCAACCUUGAAAUACCACCCUGGCAACUUUGAGGUUCUAACUCAGGUCCGUUAUCCGGAUCGAGGACAGUGUAUGGUGGGUAGUUUGACUGGGGCGGUCUCCUCCUAAAGAGUAACGGAGGAGUACGAAGGUGCGCUCAGACCGGUCGGAAAUCGGUCGUAGAGUAUAAAGGCAAAAGCGCGCUUGACUGCGAGACAGACACGUCGARCAGGUACGAAAGUAGGUCUUAGUGAUCCGGUGGUUCUGUAUGGAAGGGCCAUCGCUCAACGGAUAAAAGGUACUCCGGGGAUAACAGGCUGAUACCGCCCAAGAGUUCAUAUCGACGGCGGUGUUUGGCACCUCGAUGUCGGCUCAUCACAUCCUGGGGCUGAAGCCGGUCCCAAGGGUAUGGCUGUUCGCCAUUUAAAGUGGUACGCGAGCUGGGUUUAGAACGUCGUGAGACAGUUCGGUCCCUAUCUGCCGUGGACGUUUGAGAUUUGAGAGGGGCUGCUCCUAGUACGAGAGGACCGGAGUGGACGAACCUCUGGUGUUCCGGUUGUCACGCCAGUGGCAUUGCCGGGUAGCUAUGUUCGGAAAAGAUAACCGCUGAAAGCAUCUAAGCGGGAAACUUGCCUCAAGAUGAGAUCUCACUGGAACMUUGAGUUCCCURAAGGGCCGUCGAAGACUACGACGUUGAUAGGUUGGGUGUGUAAGCGCUGUGAGGCGUUGAGCUAACCAAUACUAAUUGCCCGUGAGGCUUGACCAUAUAACACCCAAGCAAUU